This 1964-nucleotide long non-coding RNA is filed under the name Homo sapiens (human). Its description in RNAcentral is "HSALNT0395918". Lineage: Eukaryota; Metazoa; Chordata; Mammalia; Primates; Hominidae. The record is from RNAcentral.
GGGAGGGGCGCGCAGGCGCGGACCGCCUGGCGGUACUUUGAAGAAAGACUUCUCGACGCCGAGACACUGCUGGUGGUACUCGAUGUAGAUCACGUGGAUGGCAGGAGCAGUGGCAAAGGACUUUCAACUGACAGACAAGCAUGAGAUGGUGGUCAGCUACCUCCCACUCAGCCAUAUUGCAGCACAGAUGAUGGACAUCUGGGUACCCAUAAAGAUUGGGGCGCUCACAUACUUUGCUCAAGCAGAUGCUCUCAAGGGGUGACUGGCAACCAUGCCGUGAAGACACUCAAGCAAUUCUGUGGAGAAGGCCAUGGAAUGAGGAGCUGAGACUUCCUGCCAACAACCAGUCAUCUAGGUCAGAAAUUCAGACAGGGCACAUCUGGGACAGCUUGAAGUCAUGAUGUGCUGGAGCUGGCAUGUAUCAACCGCAUGAGUCAGAGCCAAUUGCAUGCAUCUCUUCUCAGCUUCACAUUCAGUGGUAUCACAUCUGUACCUUGAAAUCAGCCACAGUGGGAGUAUUUACACCACAGGAAUUGGCAAACACUGCAAAUCAGCGCCCCAUGCCACUCAAGAGCCAGUUAUUAAAUAUUUAUCAGAACAUAACUGCUUUAAAGAAUUAUUUAAAAUUCUCAACAAUAUAAAGGGACAUUUUAUUAUUAAAUCCUUAGGGAUGGUCCCACCAAAAUCCCAUAUACAGUAAUAUUAGCAGACUCCAAAUGUACUUAGAUUUGCUAAAAUUCUCAAAUGCAUUUUUUUUUUAGAGACAGAAUCUCACUCCAUUGCCCAGGCCCAGUGGUGUGAUCAUAGCUCAGUGUAGCCUUGAAUUCCUGGGCUCAAGCAAUCCUCCCACCUCAGCCUCCUGAGUAGCUAGAACUACAGGUGUGCACCACCAUGCGGGGCUUAUUAUUUUAUUUUUUUGUAGAGGUAGAGUUGUCCAGCCUGGUCUGGAACUCCUGGCCUCAAGUGAGCCUCCUGCCUCAGCCUCCAAAGUGUUGAGAUUGCAGCCAUGAACCAUGACAGCCAGCCUCAAAUGCUUUUCCAAUAACACACAGACACAAGCCCUGAAAUUUAUAUCAUUGAGUUACUGAAUACAUAUAUGUGCCUGGAUUUCCCUAGCAAAAAUUGGGAAGAAAACAUUUACUUUCCUUUUCCAGGCAGGGUGAGUUAAAUGGUAUGUCUGCAGCUGCGUUGCCAGGGGUCCGUGGCUUUUCAAAAGUGGGUGUCCCUACUGGCAAAAGUGGAUACGGGGGUCUGCAUGUUCCGUGGCAGCUUCCAGGAAGAAUGAGAAGUGGAUAAGAGUGGAUGGUGCAGGUCUAGAAGCAAGAAAGGUCUGAACUAAAUUGGUUGUCACUUGCUGUAUAAGUGAGCCAAAGACAGUGUCUUUCUAUCAGCCCUAUCUCAUUUAUUUCUUUACAGCAGGCAGGCAGGGACCUCUCAGCUCAAAGCCCACCAGCACCAAGCUCAAAUUCUCACACAAUCCAUUGCUAUAAAUAUUGCACAAAUAAGCAUAUGUUUAGUCAUUUAGAGCCCACCUGCUUUGCAUACCCCAUAAAAUUGCACCCAACAACACCUAUUAAUCACAGAGAAGAAAAAUCUUACAGCCAUAAGAAACCCCAAAUUAUUGUUGCCUUUCAGAGUUCUAUGAUGCAGACUCUCCCCACCUUGCUACUCAAUGACAUCACCUAGACACUUAAGCCCUGCCUCUAACUCUCCUCUGUCCCAGGAGUUCCUCUGGAAGGAGUCCUGCUGGAAGGGACAUUCCCCGCAUGCAAACCUAUCUAAGUGCCGUGCAGUAAAGCUUGUUAUGCAAUACUGCCAUCUUAUGGUCCUGUUUUGUUUUGUUUUUUUUGAGCUGCCCCAUCAGGAAUCAAUGAUGUCAUAAGUCAUGGCUCCUGAAAUUGCAAUUUUCUUGUGUGUGUGUGUGUGUGUGUGUAAGCAAAAUUAGGCCAGGCAUGGUGGCUCAC